GUGAGUAGUUCAGAGUUUGAUCCUGGCUCAGGAUGAACGCUGGCGGCGUGCAUAACACAUUCAAGUCGAACGAGGUAGCAAUACCUAGUGGCGGACGGGUGAGUAACGCGUGAGCAACCUGCCCUUGUGUGGGGGAUACCGUCUGGAAACGGACGUUAAUACCGCAUAACGUUACGGAAUCGCAUGGUUCUGCAACCAAAGAUUUAUUGCGCAAGGAUGGGCUCGCGUUGGAUUAGAUAGUUGGUGAGGUAACGGCCCACCAAGUCUGCGAUCCAUAGCCGGACUGAGAGGUUGAACGGCCACAUUGGAACUGAGAUACGGUCCAG
RNAcentral lists this ribosomal RNA (326 nucleotides) under uncultured bacterium. RNAcentral describes it as "bacterial SSU rRNA". It matches the Rfam family "Bacterial small subunit ribosomal RNA", at positions 1 to 334 of the family's 1533-position model. The record is from RNAcentral.